GCAUCGGGACUGAGACACUGCCCGGACUCCUACGGGAGGCUGCAGUAACGAAUAUUCCGCAAUGCGCGAAAGCGUGACGGAGCAAUGCCGCGUGUGGGAUGAAGCAUCUAGGUGUGUAAACCACUGUCAGGGUUUAGGAAAACAAUGACCAGACCCAAAGGAAGAGCCGGCUAACUCUGUGCCAGCAGCCGCGGUAAUACAGAGGGCUCAAGCGUUAAUCGGAAUCACUGGGCUUAAAGGGUCCGCAGGCGGACAAGCAAGUAUCUUGUGAAAUACCACGGCUCAACCGUGGAAUUGCUCGGUAAACUGCUUGUCUUGAACACGGUAGGGGCCAUCGGAACUCUAGGUGGAGCGGUGAAAUGCGUAGAUAUCUAGAGGAACGCCAGAGGCGAAGGCGGAUGGCUGGGCCGUUGUUGACGCUCAGGGACGAAAGCGUGGGUAGCGAACGGGAUUAGAUACCCCGGUAGUCCACGCCCUAAACGAUGUGCACUAGGUCGCGGAGGUUUUGACGCCAUCGCGGCUGAAGUUAAAAUAUUAAGUGCACCGCCUGGGGAGUACGGUCGCAAGGCUAAAACUCAAAGGAAUUGACGGGGGCUCACACAAGCGGUGGAGCAUGUGGCUUAAUUCGAAGCAACGCGAAGAACCUUAUCCAGGGCUUGACAUGCACGGAUUAUUGAUCCGAAAGGUGAUAAACGCUCUCUGAGUGGAACGUGCACAGGUGCUGCAUGGCUGUCGUCAGCUCGUGCUGUGAAGUGUCGGGUUAAGUCCCUUAACGAGCGAAACCCCUAUCCCUAGUUGCCAGCGAGUCAUGUCGGGGACUCUAGGGAGACUGCCGGCGUCAAGCCGGAGGAAGGUGGGGAUGACGUCAAGUCCUCAUGGCCUUUAUGCCCUGGGCUGCACACGUGCUACA
RNAcentral lists this ribosomal RNA (910 nucleotides) under uncultured bacterium. RNAcentral describes it as "bacterial SSU rRNA". It matches the Rfam family "Bacterial small subunit ribosomal RNA", at positions 310 to 1229 of the family's 1533-position model. The record is from RNAcentral.